UCCAGGGGGGGAUUCCGUAUACGAUUGAUCGACCAACCCCCCUUUUUUGUUGGCUGAUCAAUGCAUUUGAAUGGGGACAUAUAGUUGGAACCCCCCUUUUUAAAAUGACUGGAUCAGCCCCUGAUGCUAAUUUAAACAAAAACAUUUGGGUGAUGGCGUUGAAAAGUAAAUAGUUAAUAUACUCAAAAAAGAACACACCGCCCCCUUCAUGAAGCAAAAUAUUCGGUCAAUAAAUGUUUUCUUCAAUAUAUGGACAUGAAUAGUAUUUUGGACAAUGCUGAAAGUAAAGAAAGGAUGAUACUGACGUGAACAUUUCAAUAAAAAUAAGACAAGAAAUAAGUAAAUAAAAAUCAAAUCUAAUAUCAAAAGAUAAAAUCCCUAUCAACUCACCAAUGCACGAUUGAUCCUAUAAACAAAAAGUGUUCAUCUAAUACACGUCCAAUUAAGCACAAAUCUAGAAGAAAAUCUUUCAACUUAUGUCAUCAAUUUUGGGCGGUAAGCUGCGAUUGGAUCAUAUAGUAACACGUGUUUAAUCCCGAUCAACACUUGCAGAUCUAGAGACGAGCAUGAGUUUAAAAAAAAAUCACAAAGUAUAUUCCUGAAUAUAUAUAAUACUAAGACAAAAUCCAUUUUUUUCAUAAAUAUUUCAUUCCCUAAUGAACUAGGAAAUUCAUUCUUUUGAUACCUUUAUAUUGUUAUCGAAUUUAUAUCAGUGGCGGAUACAUGUCUAAAUCC
Molecule: long non-coding RNA, 735 nt
Filed under: Mytilus galloprovincialis (Mediterranean mussel)
Lineage: Eukaryota; Metazoa; Mollusca; Bivalvia; Mytilida; Mytilidae
Source: RNAcentral